UCUAAUAUGGCAGAAUAGUGCAGUAGAUUUAAGCCCUACAUAUAAAGAUUAAAUCUUUUAUUAGA
RNAcentral lists this transfer RNA (65 nucleotides) under Ruspolia yunnana. Its description in RNAcentral is "tRNA-Leu". It matches the Rfam family "tRNA". From Rfam's summary of the family: Transfer RNA (tRNA) molecules are approximately 80 nucleotides in length. The record is from RNAcentral. Lineage: Eukaryota; Metazoa; Arthropoda; Insecta; Orthoptera; Tettigoniidae.